Molecule: long non-coding RNA, 339 nt
Organism: Apis mellifera (honey bee)
Lineage: Eukaryota; Metazoa; Arthropoda; Insecta; Hymenoptera; Apidae
Exons: 3
Source: RefSeq, a predicted model, not a curated record
UUAAUCUCUUGAAGUCACAGUUUGAAUUUGUACUGUUAAUAUUGCUGACGUAUGAAUGAACAAACAGAUUAAUUUUUAAUUUUAACAUUUAAAAAUUUUUACAAAAAAUGCAAAAAUAUUAAGAGUGUUAAUAUUUUAAGAGUGUUAAAAAUGAUACUGAAGAAAGGAUUUGGUAAAAACUGACAAGGAUUGAGGCAGAGCUCGACGAGAGAGUGGUUGAUGCAAAGUGGAUUGUUCGAUUCGAUCAGAGAAAAAUUUAUCGACUCAGCAACGAUGCUGAAAUAUUUACCGAUUCCUCACUGGCGCUGGCAUGCGCAGCUUGUUCCGCGAGCGCGUUCA